UCGAGCGGACAGAAGGGAGCUUGCUCCCGGAUGUUAGCGGCGGACGGGUGAGUAACACGUGGGUAACCUGCCUGUAAGACUGGGAUAACUCCGGGAAACCGGAGCUAAUACCGGAUAGUUCCUUGAACCGCAUGGUUCAAGGAUGAAAGACGGUUUCGGCUGUCACUUACAGAUGGACCCGCGGCGCAUUAGCUAGUUGGUGGGGUAAUGGCUCACCAAGGCGACGAUGCGUAGCCGACCUGAGAGGGUGAUCGGCCACACUGGGACUGAGACACGGCCCAAACUCCUACGGGAGGCAGCAGUAGGGAAUCUUCCGCAAUGGACGAAAGUCUGACGGAGCAACGCCGCGUGAGUGAUGAAGGUUUUCGGAUCGUAAAGCUCUGUUGUUAGGGAAGAACAAGUGCGAGAGUAACUGCUCGCACCUUGACGGUACCUAACCAAAAAGCCACGGCUAACUACGUGCCAGCAGCCGCGGUAAUACGUAGGUGGCAAGCGUUGUCCGGAAUUAUUGGGCGUAAAGGGCUCGCAGGCGGUUUCUUAAGUCUGAUGUGAAAGCCCCCGGCUCAACCGGGGAGGGUCAUUGGAAACUGGGAAACUUGAGUGCAGAAGAGGAGAGUGGAAUUCCACGUGUAGCGGUGAAAUGCGUAGAGAUGUGGAGGAACACCAGUGGCGAAGGCGACUCUCUGGUCUGUAACUGACGCUGAGGAGCGAAAGCGUGGGGAGCGAACAGGAUUAGAUACCCUGGUAGUCCACGCCGUAAACGAUGAGUGCUAAGUGUUAGGGGGUUUCCGCCCCUUAGUGCUGCAGCUAACGCAUUAAGCACUCCGCCUGGGGAGUACGGUCGCAAGACUGAAACUCAAAGGAAUUGACGGGGGCCCGCACAAGCGGUGGAGCAUGUGGUUUAAUUCGAAGCAACGCGAAGAACCUUACCAGGUCUUGACAUCCUCUGACAACCCUAGAGAUAGGGCUUUCCCUUCGGGGACAGAGUGACAGGUGGUGCAUGGUUGUCGUCAGCUCGUGUCGUGAGAUGUUGGGUUAAGUCCCGCAACGAGCGCAACCCUUGAUCUUAGUUGCCAGCAUUUAGUUGGGCACUCUAAGGUGACUGCCGGUGACAAACCGGAGGAAGGUGGGGAUGACGUCAAAUCAUCAUGCCCCUUAUGACCUGGGCUACACACGUGCUACAAUGGACAGAACAAAGGGCUGCGAGACCGCAAGGUUUAGCCAAUCCCAUAAAUCUGUUCUCAGUUCGGAUCGCAGUCUGCAACUCGACUGCGUGAAGCUGGAAUCGCUAGUAAUCGCGGAUCAGCAUGCCGCGGUGAAUACGUUCCCGGGCCUUGUACACACCGCCCGUCACACCACGAGAGUUUGUAACACCCGAAGUCGGUGAGGUAACCUUUAUGGAG
RNAcentral lists this ribosomal RNA (1403 nucleotides) under Bacillus pumilus. Its description in RNAcentral is "16S ribosomal RNA". It matches the Rfam family "Bacterial small subunit ribosomal RNA". Lineage: Bacteria; Bacillati; Bacillota; Bacilli; Caryophanales; Bacillaceae. The record is from RNAcentral.